UACGAAGGGGGCUAGCGUUGUUCGGAGUUACUGGGCGUAAAGGGUGUGUAGGCGGUUCUUUAAGUUUGGGGUGAAAUCUCCCGGCUCAACUGGGAGGGUGCGCCGAAUACUGAGGGACUAGAGUACGGGAGAGGAAAGUGGAAUUCCUGGUGUAGCGGUGAAAUGCGUAGAUAUCAGGAGGAACACCGGUGGUGUAGACGGCUUUCUGGACCGACACUGACGCUGAGACACGAAAGCGUGGGUAGCAAACAGG
RNAcentral lists this ribosomal RNA (253 nucleotides) under uncultured bacterium. RNAcentral's name for it is "partial 16S ribosomal RNA". It matches the Rfam family "Bacterial small subunit ribosomal RNA", at positions 524 to 776 of the family's 1533-position model. The record is from RNAcentral.